UGGUAAGGCUUUGGCGAGAACAGGCAGAGGCAAGUUAAGUAGAGACAUUUGAAAAAGGACGUCAGGAUGUCUGGGAUGGGGCCUUGGGAUCCACCACCUGAGGCCUAGUGGUUGCUCAUUGAUGACUAUGUCAAAUUGGAUGCUGGCAGCAGUGAGACCUGGAGUGCCUGUCAAGCUAAAGGACCGCAACAGAGAAUGGACAUGAAAGCACAGAGGAACAUCUGGAGAAAUUUCUGAAACGCCAGUUCGCUGCUGUCGUUACUCUGUGGUCGGGAAUCGUUCGGAGGGUAGGCCUCAAAAUCCCCAGCCUUGCCUGCUUUUGGCGACCGAGAAGGAGGUCAAAUCGUUCGGACAGAGAUGGUGCUCAGUACUUGGUGUCGGAGAGCUGAUCAGAGCUCAAAGUUUUCCGAUGACUCAGAGUCAGAUUGUGGUUGGCAUGGCAGGGAGAGUUUUUCUUCCUUCUCCCGUCUGCGUGAGAUGUGGGACAUUUGAGAAACUUUGAACUUUACUGUGCUCAUGGACUUCUUCAUCAAGUUAUGGUAUUGUUACACUGUUUGUAACUGUAUGUUAUAAUUAUGUGGUUUUGACAGUUUUUUCAGUCUUAGUUUGUCCUGUGUUUUGUGAUAUCACA
Long non-coding RNA from Mobula hypostoma (lesser devil ray), 631 nucleotides. RefSeq lists it as uncharacterized. Lineage: Eukaryota; Metazoa; Chordata; Chondrichthyes; Myliobatiformes; Myliobatidae. The record is from RefSeq and is a predicted model, not a curated record. The transcript has 3 exons.